GUAAAGGUUGUCUGGAAAAAAAAACGCUUGAAGCAGCUAACGGCUGCUCCAAGUGUUAGUUGGAGAAGCUAAAUCACUGAACAACACGGCAGCUUACGGUCAUGUUGUUCAGUGAUUUGGUGAAUUCGUCGAAAAAUUAAGAUGGCGGGCGUCCUUAGGCUGAACGUUCUCAUUUGACAAUCAGGAAUCUGUCAAAGUCCUUGUAACAACUUUUCAAAAUGAAAAAGAGACUUCUAAAAAAAUUCUUCAUGUUUCAAGUACCAAUAAUCUCAUUGAACAAACUCUUGCCCAGCAAUCUGGCUGUUUGUUGGACAGGAUCUUAAAGUAUAAUUCUGACUUCUUGGAGUAUAUUGAUGUUGACACCAAUGUGGAAAUUAAGGACUUUGACAGAUUCCAUGUGUUCCUGUCAACUGGAGGGCCCCUAGUGGAAGCUUCUCUCGAAGAGACAAAUCAAAACCAGCCCCAUACUAAUAGGGUAGAGGACAGUCAGUCCUUACAAUCACUACUAGUAAAGAAAGCACCACAGAUCCUGAAGGAGUAUGAGACCACAGGUUUCCUGUCAGUUCAGUCAAGAAAGCUUCUUGUGAAGACAUGCAUAGGAGACCUAGUUCAGAGAUGUGGUUUUUAUCCUCUUAAUGGAGACAAGCUGGCUUUAGCGAAGAGCAUCAUUGCCACCUUCCCAUCUCUGAUUGUCCAGGUGG
This is a long non-coding RNA of Nematolebias whitei (Rio pearlfish), 701 nucleotides long. RefSeq lists it as uncharacterized. The record is from RefSeq and is a predicted model, not a curated record. NCBI's taxonomy places the organism in Eukaryota, Metazoa, Chordata, Actinopteri, Cyprinodontiformes, Rivulidae. The transcript is spliced from 4 exons.